GAUUUGACCUCAAAUCAGGUAGGAGUACCCGCUGAACUUAAGCAUAUCAAUAAGCGGAGGA
This 61-nucleotide ribosomal RNA is filed under the name uncultured Glomus. RNAcentral describes it as "partial 28S ribosomal RNA". It matches the Rfam family "Eukaryotic large subunit ribosomal RNA", at positions 1 to 57 of the family's 3401-position model. The record is from RNAcentral. Lineage: Eukaryota; Fungi; Glomeromycota; Glomeromycetes; Glomerales; Glomeraceae.